GGGGCUUGUUAUAAGGGCGUCUACUUGUAGAGCCUGACCUCCACUUCUAACACUGUGCACUUGAUGGCGAGGUAAUGGAACUUUCGAGUGAAACUACCUUGCGGCUUCAUUUUAAACAUUAGUCAAAGUAUGUCAUGAAAUAAAAAACAAAAAAAAACUUUCAACAACGGAUCUCUUGGCUCUCGCAUCGAUGAAGAACGCAGCGAAAUGUGAUAAGUAAUGUGAAUUGCAGAAUUCAGUGAAUCAUCGAAUCUUUGAACGCACCUUGCGCUCCCUGGUAUUCCGGGGAGCAUGCCUGUUUGAGUGUCAUGAACUCUUCAACCCACCAGUUUCUAGUAGACUGCGUUGGUGUUUGGAUUUUGAGCGUUGCUAGUCUGACUAGCUCGUUCGUAAUAUAUUAGCAUCUCUAAUUCGAAUUCGGAUUGACUCAGUGUAAUAGACUAUUCGCUGAGGACACUUUUAUUAGUGGCCGUACUAGAACCAGUAGAAGCUUCCAACUAUUGUAGUCAACUUUAAUUUAGACCUCAGAUCAGGCAGGAUUACCCGCUGAACUUAAGCAUAUCAAAG
RNAcentral lists this ribosomal RNA (567 nucleotides) under fungal sp. TZ-2015b. Its description in RNAcentral is "eukaryotic LSU rRNA". The stretch from base 156 to 309 matches the Rfam family "5.8S ribosomal RNA". Lineage: Eukaryota; Fungi. The record is from RNAcentral.